Molecule: ribosomal RNA, 2620 nt
Filed under: human metagenome
Description: bacterial LSU rRNA
Rfam family: Bacterial large subunit ribosomal RNA
Source: RNAcentral
GGAAGACGCAGUGAACUGAAACAUCUAAGUAGCUGCAGGAAGAGAAAGAAAGAUCGAUUUCCUUAGUAGCGGCGAGCGAAGAGGAAAGAGCCCAAACCAAGUGAUUUAUCAUUUGGGGUUGUAGGACUGCGACGUGGCAGUGUAAGAGAUAGUUGAAUUAUCUGGGAAGGUAAGCCAGAGAGGGUGAGAGCCCCGUAAGCGAAAUCUCAAGCACGCCUAGCAGAAUCCUGAGUAGGCCGGGACACGAGGAAUCCCGGUUGAAACCGCGAGGACCAUCUCGCAAGGCUAAAUACUAGUUAGUGACCGAUAGUGAACCAGUACCGUGAGGGAAAGGUGAAAAGAACCCCGGAAGGGGAGUGAAAAAGAACCUGAAACCGUGUGUCUACAAGUAGUCAAAGCACAUUAAAGUGCAAUGGCGUGCCUUUUGUAGAAUGAACCGGCGAGUUACGUUAUCUAGCGAGGUUAAGUCAGAAAAGACGGAGCCGGAGCGAAAGCGAGUCUUAAUAGGGCGAAAAGUUAGGUGACGUAGACCCGAAACCAAGUGACCUACCCAUGACCAGGCUGAAGGUGUGGUAAAACGCACUGGAGGGCCGAACCCACGUAAGUUAAAAAUUGCGGGGAUGAGUUGUGGGUAGCGGUGAAAUUCCAAACGAACUUGGAGAUAGCUGGUUCUCUCCGAAAUAGCUUUAGGGCUAGCCUCGUGGAGAGGAUAAUGGAGGUAGAGCUCUGUUUGGACUAGGGGCCCGUCAGGGGUUACUGAAUCCAGAUAAACUACGAAUUCCAGAUAUCCAUACACGGGAGUCAGACUGCGAGUGAUAAGAUCCGUAGUCGAAAGGGAAACAGCCCAGAUCACCAGUUAAGGUCCCCAAAUCUAUGCUAAGUGGAAAAGGAUGUGGAGUUGCGUAGACAACUAGGACGUUGGCUCAGAAGCAGCCAUCAUUCAAAGAGUGCGUAAUAGCUCACUAGUCGAGUGGCGCUGCGCCGAAAAUUUACCGGGGCUAAGCAUAGUACCGAAACUGUGGAUGUGUUUUAAAGAGCACGUGGUAGGAGAGCGUUCUAAGAGCGGAGAAGUUGAAUCGAGAGGAUCAAUGGAGCGCUUAGAAGUGAGAAUGCCGGUAUGAGUAGCGAAAGAUAGGUGAGAAUCCUAUCCGCCGAAAGACUAAGGUUUCCUGGGGCAGGCUCGUCCGCCCAGGGUAAGUCGGGACCUAAGGCAAGGCCGAGAGGCGUAGUCGAUGGAUAACAGGUAGAGAUUCCUGUACUGUGUCAAAUCGUUAAGAGCGAAGGAGGGACGCAGGAGGUGAAGCACGCAUCGCGAUGGAACGAUGUUCAAGCAACAAGUGCGGUUAAGAGUCAAAUGCUUCUAACCAGCAACACGAGUUGUGAAGAGGAGUGAAUUAAAAGUAGCGAAGGUGUGGUAAUCACACUGCCAAGAAAAGCUUCUAGCCAGAGAUGACAUACCCGUACCGCAAACCGACACAGGUAGUCGAGUGGAGAACACUAAGGUGAGCGAGAGAACUCUCGUUAAGGAACUCGGCAAAAUGACCCCGUAACUUCGGGAGAAGGGGUGCUGAUCUCCGGAUCAGCCGCAGUGAAUAGGCCCAAACAACUGUUUAUCAAAAACACAGGUAUCUGCAAAAUCGUAAGAUGACGUAUAGGUGCUGACACCUGCCCGGUGCUGGAAGGUUAAGAGGAGAGCUUAGCGUAAGCGAAGGUUUGAAUUGAAGCCCCAGUAAACGGCGGCCGUAACUAUAACGGUCCUAAGGUAGCGAAAUUCCUUGUCGGGUAAGUUCCGACCUGCACGAAAGGUGUAAUGAUUUGGGCACUGUCUCAACGAGAGACUCGGUGAAAUUAUAAUACCCGUGAAGAUGCGGGUUACCCGCGACAGGACGGAAAGACCCCAUGGAGCUUCACUGUAGCUUGAUAUUGAGUAUCUUUUAAACAUGUACAGGAUAGGUAGGAGCCAGAGAAGAUAGGACGCUAGUCUUAUUGGAGGCAAUGUUGGGAUACUACCCUUGUUUGAAGGAUGCUCUAACCUCGACCUGUAAGCCAGGCCAGGGACAGUGUCAGGUGGGCAGUUUGACUGGGGCGGUCGCCUCCUAAAGUGUAACGGAGGCGCUCAAAGGUUCCCUCAGAAUGGUUGGAAAUCAUUCGCAGAGUGUAAAGGUAUAAGGGAGCUUGACUGCGAGAGAGACAACUCGAGCAGGUAGGAAACUAGGACUUAGUGAUCUGGUGGUACCGUAUGGAAGGGCCAUCACUCAACGGAUAAAAGCUACCCUGGGGAUAACAGGCUUAUCUCCCCCAAGAGUUCACAUCGACGGGGAGGUUUGGCACCUCGAUGUCGGCUCGUCGCAUCCUGGGGCUGAAGUCGGUCCCAAGGGUUGGGCUGUUCGCCCAUUAAAGCGGCACGCGAGCUGGGUUCAGAACGUCGUGAGACAGUUCGGUCCCUAUCCGUCGUGGGCGUAGGAAAUUUGAGAGGAGCUGUCCUUAGUACGAGAGGACCGGGAUGGACAUACCGCUGGUGUACCAGUUGUCUUGCCAAAGGCACCGCUGGGUAGCUAUGUAUGGAAGGGAUAAGCGCUGAAAGCAUCUAAGUGCGAAGCCCCCCUCAAGAUGAGAUUUC